GGAGCCCCGCAUUCUACAGUGUCCGAAAGAUUCGAAACUCCAAAAGCUCCACUGUGUGCUCCGGGAGGGGAGGGGGUGCGCCAGGAAAGGAGUGGAAAAAAGUGGGCGAGGAGGAGCGUUGAAACUUUCGUGACAAGUAGUUUCCGUGCGCCCGAGAGCGUGUGAAUUGCUCCUAAUUACCGUGUCCGCUUCUUUUAGACUCAGGACGCGCAUCGGUCUGUCCGACCUUCCCCGCAAGAGACAAAGUGACUGCUGGGAGGCCCCCGCGGACAGUUUUCAGUUUUAACUUUCGCCUUAUUCUUAUCCUGUCCUGAUGUCACGGCCCUGAGGAACAGCUCAUUCUGAAGAAGAGAGUAAAGAAAAUUCGUUUAAAUAAUGAGGAAAAUGAGCGUUCCUGGCAUUCUCCGUCCACUCUUGACCGUGCGUCUCCGCGUUACUCUUUCGAACCUCCAGGCCGGCGGGAAUCUGGGCGCGUAGAUUCGGCCGGGGCCGUCGCGGCCUCAGGACGCAGCCCUCCCGCCUGGCACGACUACUGGGCCGCGCCCUGUCAGUCUAUCCGCUUCUGAGCCCAGGGCUGGGGUUGGGGGAAAGAAGGUGCGACCAACGGGCCCCCACCCGAAGACCGCAGAACCUGGCGCCCCGGGAGAGCCUUGGAAGAAGCCCACCCGGAGGCUGAGGCUGGAGGGAAAAGGGGAUGGGGAUGAUGCGCUCGAGGACCGGGCGGAGAGCUUCCAGAAAGUUCACCAGGCCCCGGCGCGAGGGCGCUCUGACACGAACAAGGUCUAUGAUAGCGAUAAAAACCUGGUCACUAGCUCCCAGAAAAUGCCACUUGCUGGAGUCUGUGAAUGGGUUUAGGAGAGAGAAGGGUGUCAGCCCCCGCGAGGGUCUCCCGCGUGAAGCGAGGAUAAGGGGGUGCUUCAGGGAUAAUAUGUCCUCUAGGAGCGCAGGACCCAGACCCCACCUUCCAACACCUGGAGGUUCCGAGGCCAAGUACGUCUAGUAGCCCCGGCUGCACCUGGGGAGGAGAGCCAUGAGGUUGGGGGAAGAGCGCCGACCACCGCCGGAUUCCGCGCCGGGGCCGUCAGGUGCCUUCUCCCAGAGCUCCUUUGGACAAAGUUUUCGGGAAAUUAUAUUAAACCGAAAACGAAAUAAACUAUAUAAAUCUGCCUAGCUUUUCGGGGGGGCGGUGGCCCAGGUAUCCUUCGCGCUUGAGGCCAGGUCACCGUGAGAUUUCCCCACUCCGGACGGGGGAUUCCUCAGAAGCCAAGGGUGUAACCACGAGGACUCGGGAACCCGAGGCGGCCCCACAGAUGCGUGAGGAACUUCAUUUUCUAAGGAGUGGGAGGAGGAGCAUCCUGGCAUCUAAUACAGCCCAACCAGAGGGAAUCCGCCCACCCCUAGUGGAGGAACCUCUCUCUUCUCUCGCCCCUCUUUCCUGGCAUUCACAUCUCCACAGGUCUGGGACCCACAGCCUUUUCUCCCACUCCCCGGAGGUUAGGGUUUUCAUGUGAGUGAAUGUGUUAUGGAGGGAGGCAAAAUAAACCCCAGGUCAUCUCACCCACACUUUGACCAGGCAGGAAUCCUCUGCCCAGCUUCCCAGGCCACUCCAGGGCCAGUUCCUCCUGAUUUGAAUUGGGUCGGUCGAAGGGGAAAGGAAAGGCAUGGCCGAACUGAGCCGUCAGCACGAGAAGAGCACGCUCAGGUUGAGUCAGCAGGGUCUACCCGCUCCCCAGCCUGAGUGUAGCUUCACACUUGGACACACCCCCUCCCCCGUGCGUGUGACCACUCUCUGCAAAGUAUGGGACACACUGUCACGCCAGCAUUCAGAGAGCACCACGGGGCCCAGGCUCAACUCUGAUACUACCCUCCAACCCAAGGGGACCCCUUCAGUGAAUUUGACCUCAGUGUUCUCAUAAGCAUGUCCCCAUCCUGGGACAUCCACUCGAUGUGUGACGUUCCCAGACUCCCACAGAUUUCCACAUCGGUGACAGCACACGCCGACAGGAGCACAUCCUCACGCACGUAUGCCCUGGUUUAUGCGCGGAGCCCCAGCCUUACUUCUACAGUUGGGCCCCAGGCAGAAAAAGCCACAGCCUUCCAGGACAAAUGAGGCGGCUGAGAGCAGAGGGUCUUCCUCACACAUUCACACGCGUACUCUUAGCUCAGAAUCAUUUGCUGACGCCUCUGCUGUGCCAGGGGCUGGGGGUCCGGGUGAGAGGGCCCGGCCAAGAAAAUACACCCCAUCCCUAUUCGCCCCUGGCCCCAUCCCCCACGCCCACGCCCAGGCACUGGUGGCGUCCAAAGGGACUGCGCUGGGAUGAGGCCGGGGUUGAGGGCCUAGGGCGUAGAGCCGGCUGUAGGCGCGGCGUGGGGAAGGGCGCCGAGGGUGAGUAGUGUAACUCUGAGUAGAAGAGCCAGGGGCGCCGAUGGGGGACCCGGGAGGCACUGACUUUUGCGCUGUUUGCCCGCGGCCUCGGAGCAAGCAGACGCCAUCUGUUUGCCGGCUGCGACGCGUCCCGUUUAAUUACCCUCCCGGCAGCCUAAUAGAGAUGAUAUUAAACUAAAUCUUUCUGACAUUAAAAGUAAUUAUCCCCAAACCGGUGGCUCCGGGACGGAAUGGCCCCUCCCGCACCCACCCCUUCCCUGGCUGUGCCGGAUUCCGUUAGUUUGGCUGAUACUCUCCGCCCGGGAAUGGGGCGCAGAAGAAAGGGGGAACGUGCUUUUGGGAGAAGGAGUCUCCACGGGUUGCCUGACACGCGUUUUCCCGCAAACUACACUCUCCUGUUCCUAUGUGGACACAAGCACGUGUACACACAGACACGUAGCGAUAUUUUCCUCCAGAUCAACUCAUGAGUCACGCUGAUUAAGACCCUCAGCCGCGCACACCCUCUGUGAACAGGGAGACGCGCAGCUUGGUUUCCUGUCCCGUCCUCUGACACCGCUAAAAUGGUCAUUUUCCAUGGUCAUAGCCACGGAUCUAUGCCAGGACCGGGGACCGGGCAUAAUUUCGGAGCCAGAAAGAACUCCUAUGGUGGCGCCGGGUUUCUCAGGCGCUGUUCCAGCUAAGGGCCAGGCGCCCAGCAAUUUCUCUACAGUUGCUUACUGAAGUCGCACCACUCUCUGCGAGGCAGGUCCGAUUAUUCCACUUGUCAGGUGAGAGACUUGGAGCGGUGAGAUGACUUGUUCCACAUAUCACAAUUAGUGCGUAACAGAGCAAAAAUCAAACCCGGGAGUACCCUCAUCCAACGCCGGGUCAAGGCACCCCUCCACACCCGUUGGCCGAGAACCCUUUGGUGCUCAGCUUCUUCCCGGGCCCUGGACCUAAAGGCUGGGCCGAACAGCCAACUGAAGGUGGAGGAGAGAGGGCACUGGCUCUGAGUGAGCGGCAGGAGGCCCCGAGGCGGAGCCCCAGCGGCUGCAGCCCUCCUUUGGAUCAAGCCCUCGCGUCUGCGGGGCAGGCGAAAGGGAGGCGUCUGCCCAGUGUCGCCAGGCUCCUCAGGAUUUUCUGGUUGGGAGCAUCUAAGCCUGAGACAAACGCGUGGAGAGUGGUGUUCACCGCCCCACUAUUUGUUUCUAUUUGUGAGCGCCUACUGAGUACAGCCACUCUGCUAAACACUUGGUGUGUGCUGUCUUGCUUGCCACGCAGUCCAUGGGGGAAGAUGCGAUGGUCCACGUUUCAGACACAAGGUAGCCAAAGUUCAGCAAGGCGACACAACUUGCCUGGGGCCAGAGUGCUGCCGAACUUCGAAAAAGACAGAAAUCCAGAUCCAACUCCCACUCUCAGGUUUUUUUCUCCUCACCUUCCAUGGCGGGGGGGUGGGUAGGAUCAGACCUAGGAGCUUCCAUUUGGUUCGGUUUCAUUCAGUUCACUGAUCGUUCACAGAAACAUGAAAGUAAGAGUCAUUCAUUCAUUCAUUCAUUCAUUCAUUCGUUUAUGUAACAGCAUUUGUUGAGCAUCUAGUAUGUGCCAAGCUCUGUGGAUCCGAGACAAAUCAACCAUAAUGGGCCCUUACAGAACUUGUUAGCCAACUGGGGACACAGUCCCCUAUCAGUGACCUCACAGUGAGAAGUCUAAUCUUGGGAAUGGGGGAAGGAGGAUGAGGGGAAGCUUCCCGAAGAAAGGGACCUCUGAUGGUUAGGUUUCCCAAAGGGAAACACUGUUAUUGCUUGUUCUGAUAGAAUAAAAGUCUUAUAAAACAUUUUAGAAAAUUCAGCAAAAUAUAUUUGGUGAAUUUUGCUAUUUUUUUCCCUGUCUACCCACACUGACAAAAACAUACUUUACAGUACUUGUUUUUUGUUUACAAUUAUAAGGAUUUUAAUAUUAAUCUACCUACAUAAGCUUUUAAAAUGAUUGUUUAAUGUUCCAUUGCAUGGAUCCAUCUUUCUUUAGCCAUUUCCCUGUUAAUAGGUAUUUUGUUUGUUUCGAGUUUUUGCUCUAAUAAAUAUUGCUACCACAAA
Non-coding RNA from Macaca mulatta (Rhesus monkey), 4458 nucleotides. The record is from RefSeq and is a predicted model, not a curated record. Lineage: Eukaryota; Metazoa; Chordata; Mammalia; Primates; Cercopithecidae.